CUGGUCAGGACGAACGCUGGCGGCGUGCCUAAUACAUGCAAGUCGAACGGUCUUUCUAUGGAAGCUUGCUUCCACUGAGGAGAUAGUGGCGAACGGGUGAGUAACACGUGGGUAACCUGCCCAUAAGAGGGGGAUAACAUCCGGAAACGGGUGCUAAUACCGCAUAGUUUUCUUGAUCGCAUGAUCGGGAAAGGAAAGACGGCCUCUGUGCUGUCGCUUAUGGAUGGACCCGCGGCGUAUUAGUUAGUUGGUGAGGUAAUGGCUCACCAAGACGAUGAUACGUAGCCGACCUGAGAGGGUGAUCGGCCACAUUGGGACUGAGACACGGCCCAAACUCCUACGGGAGGCAGCAGUAGGGAAUCUUCCGCAAUGGACGAAAGUCUGACGGAGCAACGCCGCGUGAGUGAAGAAAGGUUUUCGGAUCGUAAAACUCUGUUGUCAGAGAAGAACAAGUUGGAGAGUAACUGCUCCAGCCUUGACGGUAUCUGACCAGAAAGCCACGGCUAACUACGUGCCAGCCGCCGC
This 525-nucleotide ribosomal RNA is filed under the name uncultured bacterium. RNAcentral describes it as "bacterial SSU rRNA". It matches the Rfam family "Bacterial small subunit ribosomal RNA", at positions 20 to 518 of the family's 1533-position model. The record is from RNAcentral.